RNAcentral lists this ribosomal RNA (564 nucleotides) under uncultured Glomeromycotina. RNAcentral's name for it is "SSU rRNA". It matches the Rfam family "Eukaryotic small subunit ribosomal RNA", at positions 548 to 1114 of the family's 1831-position model. The record is from RNAcentral. Lineage: Eukaryota; Fungi; Glomeromycota.
UUGGAGGGCAAGUCUGGUGCCAGCAGCCGCGGUAAUUCCAGCUCCAAUAGCGUAUAUUAAAGUUGUUGCAGUUAAAAAGCUCGUAGUUGAAUUUCGGGAUCAGAGUGUCGGUCGUGCCUCGGUACGCACUGGUAUUAUUGGUUCCUACCUUCUGAAGAACCGCGAUGUCAUUAAUUUGGUGUCGCGGGGAAUCAGGACUGUUACUUUGAAAAAAUUAGAGUGUUUAAAGCAGGCUUACGCUUGAAUACAUUACCAUGGAAUAAUGAAAUAGGACGUUUGAUUCUAUUUUGUUGGUUUCUAGGAUUGACGUAAUGAUUAAUAGGGAUAGUUGGGGGCAUUAGUAUUCAAUUGUCAGAGGUGAAAUUCUUGGAUGUAUUGAAGACUAACUACUGCGAAAGCAUUUGCCAAGGAUGUUCUCAUUAAUCAAGAACGAAAGUUAGGGGAUCGAAGACGAUCAUAUACCGUCGUAGUCUUAACCAUAGACUAUGCCGACUAGGGAUCGGAUGAUGUUAAUUUUUUAAUGACUCAUUCGGCGCCUUACGGGAAACCAAAGUGUUUGGGUUC